GAAGUGUAGUCCUUGUCUGCCAUGUCCAUGGACGGCACAACACGCUGAGAACUGCAGCCGAUUCUAGUGAACAGGCAGCAAAAAAAACAACAGAAACCUAGAGUCUGCUGACACGAAAAACCAAGUUCUGCUCACUCCCGAGUUGCUGACAUGGAAAACCGAGUUCUGCUCACUCUCGAGUUGCUGACAUGGAAAACCGAGUUCUGCUCACUCUCGAGUUGCUGACACGGUCAACCAAGUUCUGCUUAUGCCAGAGUUGCUAACACAGUCAACCAAGUUCUACUUACUCCCGAGUUGCUAACACGGUCAACCAAGUUCUGCUCACGCCCGAGUCCGCUGGCACCGCCAGCCAAGUUCUGCUUAUGCUUGAGACUGACAACACAGCCAACCAAGCAAUGGGUACACCUGAGUCUGGUGGCACGGCCAACCAAGUUCAGCCUGCAGAGUCGAUAGAGAAGGACGCUCAGCCUCUCUGCAUGAUUGAGGACGCCACUCAGCAUCUUUAUACAGCUGAGGACGCUGCUCAGUCUCCCUGCUCCACUGAGGACUUCGCUCUGCCUUCCUGCUCUGAUGAGGACGUCGCUCUGCCUUCCUGCUCCGAUGAGGAUGUUGCUUUGCCUUCCUGCUCCGAUGAGGACGUUGCUCUGCCUUCCUGUCCCGCUGAGGACGUCGCUCUGCCUUCCUGUUCAGCUGAAGAUAUUUUGCCCAGAAGGCCAGGAUGGCCAGGGGAGGGGAGUGUGUUCUGGUGGUUCUGUCACGAUUUCCUCUCGAGCUAGCGCUAGCUAGCAUGCAGCGUUUUCGGUAACCCGAAGCACGAGCUUGAUUUUCGGAGACCUCGACUUUGUUUACUUUCGACACAUGCAUUUGUUAUGGUUUAUGUCCUGUCUCCACUCCUGUAUUGUCAUUGGUUGUUUCCCGUAGGUGUCAUCAUUAGUCUCAGCUGUUUUGUGAUCACCCUUGAUUACAUUUGUCAUUUAAACCCUUCAUGUUUCUUUGUACUUCGCGAAGUAUUACGUGAGUUUCCGUAUACCAAGCAUUUGUUUCUCAGUUCGUGUUAUUAUUUUGAUCUUGUUCUCACCCUCAUUCUCGAUUGCAGUUUUGCCUAGUUUGUGCCUGUUUGCCAAUCGCCUGACCCAUUGCCUGUUUUUUGACCAUGCUACUGUCUCAUGAUUCGGAUUUGUCUGCC
Long non-coding RNA from Ictalurus punctatus (channel catfish), 1186 nucleotides. The record is from Ensembl. NCBI's taxonomy places the organism in Eukaryota, Metazoa, Chordata, Actinopteri, Siluriformes, Ictaluridae.